Molecule: ribosomal RNA, 527 nt
Filed under: uncultured bacterium
Lineage: Bacteria
Description: bacterial SSU rRNA
Rfam family: Bacterial small subunit ribosomal RNA
Source: RNAcentral
AAUAGAUACCCCGGUAGUCCACGCCGUAAACGAUGUCGAUUUGGAGGUUGUGCCCUUGAGGCGUGGCUUCCGGAGCUAACGCGUUAAAUCGACCGCCUGGGGAGUACGGCCGCAAGGUUAAAACUCAAAUGAAUUGACGGGGGCCCGCACAAGCGGUGGAGCAUGUGGUUUAAUUCGAUGCAACGCGAAGAACCUUACCUGGUCUUGACAUCCACAGAACUUAGCAGAGAUGCUUUGGUGCCUUCGGGAACUGUGAGACAGGUGCUGCAUGGCUGUCGUCAGCUCGUGUUGUGAAAUGUUGGGUUAAGUCCCGCAACGAGCGCAACCCUUAUCCUUUGUUGCCAGCGGUUCGGCCGGGAACUCAAAGGAGACUGCCAGUGAUAAACUGGAGGAAGGUGGGGAUGACGUCAAGUCAUCAUGGCCCUUACGACCAGGGCUACACACGUGCUACAAUGGCAUAUACAAAGAGAAGCGACCUCGCGAGAGCAAGCGGACCUCAUAAAGUAUGUCGUAGUCCGGAUUGGAGU